Molecule: ribosomal RNA, 775 nt
Filed under: uncultured Neocallimastigales
Lineage: Eukaryota; Fungi; Neocallimastigomycota; Neocallimastigomycetes; Neocallimastigales
Description: partial large subunit ribosomal RNA
Rfam family: Eukaryotic large subunit ribosomal RNA
Source: RNAcentral
UACGACUACAUAUCAGGCAUAUCAAUAAGCGGAGGAAAAGAAACUAACUAGGAUUCCCUCAGUAACGGCGAGUGAAGCGGGAAGAGCUCAAAUUUGAAAUCUUCAAGGUUUUACCUUGACGAAUUGUAGUUUAAAGAAGUGUUUUCUGUUGGAUGUUUUGGUAAAAGUUCUUUGGAAUAGGACAUCAUAGAGGGUGAGAAUCCCGUAUUUGACCAUUAUUUCCAGCUUUGUGAUACACUUUCAAAGAGUCGGAUUGUUUGGGAAUGCAGUCCAAAAUGGGUGGUAAAUUUCAUCUAAAGCUAAAUAUUGGCGAGAGACCGAUAGCGAACAAGUACCGUGAGGGAAAGAUGAAAAGAACUUUGAAAAGAGAGUUAAACAGUACGUGAAAUUGUCAAAAGGGAAGCGUUUGACACCAGUGUUGUUUUCUCGAAAAUCAAUUAAAAAGUGUUGGAUUUUGUAUUGUUAAGACCUUAUCAGCUUACUGUACUUUUUUCCUGCUCUUUUUAAUGCACUUUUCGUUUAACAAGUCAACAUCAAUUUCUUUUGUUGUAAAAGAGUCAUUGGAAGGUGGCUUUCACUUCGGUGAAAGUGUUUAUAGCCUUUGACUCCUGCAAUCGGAGAGACUGAGGUCUGCAGCGUAGAUCCUUCUGGAUUAGAUUCACUUGUGCUAAGUUAUAGCUUUUCAUAGACAACUUGUUGACUAUGUUUAGUCUUGUAGCUUACUCGCUUGUGUAAUUUUACCUACGCUUAGGAUGUUGAACGCGCACAGAGUCUC